ACGAAUAAUUUCACAAUAGGUCCUUAAAGUAAUCGUACUUAAGGGUAAUAGGGAAGUUUGGUGAAAAUCCAACGCGGUCCCGCCACUGUAAACGUAGAAUGACACUUAAUAGAUCCCACUGUAUUCUUUAAUAUGGGAAGGGAAAGUGUACAUGAUGAUGCGUAAGCCAGGAGACCUGCCUAUUGUUAAGAUAAACG
Molecule: non-coding RNA, 197 nt
Filed under: Bacillus sp. (in: firmicutes)
Lineage: Bacteria; Bacillati; Bacillota; Bacilli; Caryophanales; Bacillaceae
Source: RNAcentral